RNAcentral lists this ribosomal RNA (496 nucleotides) under Comptosia sp. LRC-2002. Its description in RNAcentral is "partial 16S ribosomal RNA". It matches the Rfam family "Bacterial large subunit ribosomal RNA", at positions 1797 to 2551 of the family's 2925-position model. Lineage: Eukaryota; Metazoa; Arthropoda; Insecta; Diptera; Bombyliidae. The record is from RNAcentral.
CACCUGUUUAUCAAAAACAUGUCUUUUUGCAAUUUAUAUAAAGUCUGACCUGCCCACUGAUAAUUAAUUAAAUGGCCGCAGUAUUUUAACUGUGCAAAGGUAGCGUAAUCAUUAGUCUUUUAAUUGAAGGCUGGAAUGAAUGGUUGGACGAGGCAUAUACUGUAUCAAAAUAAUAUAUAGAAUUUUAUUUUUUAGUUAAAAAGCUAAAAUAUUUAUGAAAGACGAGAAGACCCUAUAGAUCUUUAUAUUUUAAUUAAUUUUAUUUAUUUAGAUAAUUUUAAUUAAUAUUAAUUAAAAUAUUUUGUUGGGGUGACAUUAAGAUUUAUAUAACUCUUAAUUUAUUAUUACAUUGAUUUUUGAAUAAAAUUUAUUUUUGAUCCUAUUAUAUAGAUUAUAAAAUUAAGUUACCUUAGGGAUAACAGCGUAAUUUUUCUGGAGAGUUCUUAUCGAUGGAAAAGAUUGCGACCUCGAUGUUGGAUUAAAAUAAUUUUUUGGG